This 966-nucleotide unclassified non-coding RNA is filed under the name Hevea brasiliensis (rubber tree). The record is from RNAcentral. Lineage: Eukaryota; Viridiplantae; Streptophyta; Magnoliopsida; Malpighiales; Euphorbiaceae.
GUCUGAGAUUGUUCAAAUAUAAUAGGUCAUGUUUACGAGAGGAUUUCAGUAAUGAGAAAUAAAUGCCCAAGAAUGUUUGAUUAAUUUGAUUGGAAUCGUCCCCAUUUUAGCUGAAACUAACUUGAACCCAGCUAUAUUUUACUGGUAGUGAUCCUGACUAUGUAAUGGGAAAUUCUGCUGUGAUUGAAAUUUAAGAGCCUAAUUUAUUGCUUCCACGCUAUUAAUUAAUCUCAUUGUACUUUCCUGAGCCUGGUACUAGCUAAACUAUUUGAGAUUCGGACUUCCACUUAGCACUUGCAUGAAUGUUACUUUCUAUGAUACAUAGCUGGCUGGUACAGUGAAAACUAGCAUUUGGAUACACACUGGGAUUUCUUCAACUUUGUUAGUUUCCUCCUUUUCUUCCAUAUGGAGUUGGAUAUAUGUUCUAUUUUUUUUUCAAAAAGGAGGCUAAAUGGGUCAUGGGCUACACAACAAAGGGUAUUAAUAGAUUAGGGGAACGCAAACCCUACCCCCCUACUAUAGGGCAUAAGGAGACUAAUUAGGCUAGCCUUGAUUGGCUAAAGAAGAUUAUAUUUUAGUAUGUGUAGACCCAUAUAUGCAUAGCUAGAUUAACUACAAAUUCGUUGAUUUGCUUCACAAUUAAAUAUCGUUUUGUUUGUUUUGGCGUGGGGUUCUUCCUUGGUUGCAGGUGAAAGCCUAACACCAUAGGAGAAGUAAAACCCAAAUUUAUAUUGCUUGUGUGGCUCAUUACUAUAUUGUUUUUAUCCUCGAAUGCCUUCCAUUGCAUCCCAAAGGCUCUUCUUUUUAUAUUCUUUUAUUUUUUUUAUUUUUAAAGGCUCUCAAGUAUAAAUACAAGAUCACUAGAAUCAACAAUGAUUAGGGAAGCAAUUUUAAAGUUAUUGCAUACUAAUUAACCAAACCUCUUAUAUAAAUGUGCAUGACAGUAGUAGAGAAACCUGGCCACAG